UGGGCUCAUUGUUUGGGUGCCCGUGUGUGCAGUGACCGGAGGGCAACUGAAACAUUUCUGAAGGUUCUUCGCUGGCAGCGGUGUGAUGUUUCUUUUCUAGACAAGCCCGGGAGAACUAACCUAGGCCUGAGCUGGAACAGCAGGAAGGAAUUAGAUUACAUUCUAUGAGAGCUUCUGGAUUGUGAAGGCUUGGAGCCACUGGUGCGCACGAGCAUCGGCAUUGAUGAGAAUUUAAGUAGGGUUUUGUUUGUGACUUUCCUCUUCAAAUCUCAAGAGUCCUUGACAGUUAUCUCUUCUAUCAGGAACAAUCAUAGAGCCUUUUCUGCUACAUUAUCCCAGCAGAAGCUACUGCCUACACAUGCGACCCGCAAUAAUUAAAGACAUUUUAAGUGUCAAAUUCAUUAGCAUCCUCAUUAUACAGAUGAUGCCAGCGAGGCCCAGGAGGUUGGUGUCAAGUAACUUGUCUAAGGCCACACAACUUGUGGGUGGAAGAGCUUGACUGAAGGCCCAUGAAGCUGAGUCCAUCUGGCACCCAAGCUGAGGUCACUGGAGUAGGAUCCCACCACCAGACAGCAGCUAGAGAUGUCUGGAAGAGAACAGCCAGGCUCCAGUCACAGACACACUGCUGAAAUACUUCCUUUUAAUGCUACACAGAACUCAGUUGUUCAGAGGGGGGAUGGAGAGCUGGCUCAGAAGUCAAGGCAUGGGCACACUUGCAAAGGAUCUGAAUUUGGCUCCCAACACCCAUACUGGACGUCUCUCAACCAUCUGAAAUGCCAACACCAAAGGGAUCCCAUACCUUCCUCUGGACUCCGGUGGGAAACUGCUCUUGCAUUAACGUGUAUCCUCCAUAUACAAGUAAUGGAAAAUAAA
Long non-coding RNA from Mesocricetus auratus (golden hamster), 873 nucleotides. RefSeq lists it as uncharacterized. The record is from RefSeq and is a predicted model, not a curated record. The transcript has 3 exons. NCBI's taxonomy places the organism in Eukaryota, Metazoa, Chordata, Mammalia, Rodentia, Cricetidae.